GACGAACGCUGGCGGCGUGGAUUAGGCAUGCAAGUCGAGCGACGGACCUUCGGGUUACGGAGCGGCGAACGGGUGAGUAACACGUGAACAAUCUACCCUCUCAUUCCGGAUAAUUGGCUGAAAAGCCUUGUAAUACGGGGGAGGUUCCAAUUGAGGCAUCUCAUGUUGGAACGAACAGGUAACUGGUGCGAGGAGGAGUU
This 200-nucleotide ribosomal RNA is filed under the name uncultured bacterium. Its description in RNAcentral is "partial 16S ribosomal RNA". It matches the Rfam family "Bacterial small subunit ribosomal RNA", at positions 28 to 231 of the family's 1533-position model. The record is from RNAcentral.